RNAcentral lists this long non-coding RNA (1240 nucleotides) under Sus scrofa (pig). RNAcentral describes it as "lncRNA (ENSSSCG00050064401.1)". Lineage: Eukaryota; Metazoa; Chordata; Mammalia; Artiodactyla; Suidae. The record is from RNAcentral.
GGGGCAUGCUCAUGGGUUAAAUUCACUUGUUUGAUUUUCCUUUUUUGGGGGGCCGCAUUCGAGAGACAUGGAAGGUCCCUGGGCCAGGGAUUGAAUCAGAGCCGCAUGGGCGACCUACGCCACAGCUGAGGUAACACGGGACCCUUAACCCACUGCAGCACAGCGGGAACUCCCUGCUGCACGUCUCUGAGCCACACUGUCUUCCUUGAGGAGGCGCUGCUGAGGGUGACGGAGACCCCCCUACUGGAGGUGCCACUGAGGUGUGGCAGGGAGGGGGCAUCCAUCCAUCUGUCCCCAGGCCUCGGACCCUGGUGCCUGAGAGACACGGAUGCUGCAAGACUCCAUCUCCAGCACCACCACUGCUGCGCUCAGACCCUGGGGCUCUGUCAGGAGUCUGCCCUGCACGGCUUUUAUCAAAACAUCCAAAACUAGGCCAGAGACAAGGCCAGGGAACCUGCAGCCCUCGGGCCACUCCAGGCCGCCUACCAGGUUCCGGCAGAGCUGCCGGGCGGGACGUGGACCCCGCGGGCACUUUCGAGCCUCUGCACCCCAGCGUCCCUUCUGCUGCCGAAAGAGUUCUCCACAGAGCGCUGCUGGAGUCCGGGAGCCUGGAGUCCGUGAACCUGGACGAGAAAACAGUCACAUCCAUAUCGGCACCAACUAAAUUCAGCAUCGCCCUGCCUUGUGAAUGUGAGCAGCAAAACCCAGUGAGGUCUGUGGUUUUGCCACCAAUGUUAUCAACCACAAACCCCACUGGGUUUCCGAGCGUCCUACCUUUAUUGCAGAAAUUUCAGGACGGCAUUUGGACUCAAAUCACGGUAGUUCUUAAAUCCGCUACUAGAUAUUCUUUUAAAUGUGCUAGGAAGAAGUAGGAGUUCCCCGGUGGCCUAGCUGGUUAGGAAUCCUGCAUUAUCACUGCUGUAGCUGGGUUAGAUUCCUGGCCUGGGAGUGUCUGCAGGCUGCUGGCCAAAAAAAAAAAGAAGAAGAAGGAGAAAAGGAAGAGGAAGAGGAAGAAAAGAAGAAGAGGCAUGUAUAUUAAACAAUAGUUUGACAAAUUUCAGUGCAUUUGGCUUCCUUUAUAAUCCUACGUAUUUUGCUAUUUUGCAUUGUGCAUUUAAAAACAUGAUCCUGGAGUUCCCGUNUUAAUUUUUUUUUUUUUUUUUUUUGGCUGUGCCCAAGGCAGGUGGAAGUUCCCCAGCCAGGGACUGAAUCUGAGCCACGACAGUGACCCAAGCCACCG